AAACAGAUAAGUAAGAGUUAAUAGAACAGAAGUACUUCCUAUCUCUUUUGCCUGGAAAGGGUUAACAAGAUCAGUGAGCCUGGCUGUCACCUGACCAGAGGACCAAUCAGGGGACAGGAUACUUUCAAAUCUUGAGGGAGGGAAUUUUUGUGUGUGCUGUUAGUGUUUGGUUGUUGUUCUCUCUGGGUUCUGAGAGUGACCAGACGUGCAACCAGGUUUCUCUCCAAUUUCCCUGAUACAGGUUCUUAUAAAUUCAAAAUAGUAAGUACUAGGUGAUAAGGCGAGUUAGGCUUAUGUUUGUUUUCUUUAUUUGCAAAUGUGUAUUUGGCUGGGAGGAGUUCAAAUGUGUAUUUAGCUGGAAGGAGUUCAAAUUUGUAUUUGGCUGAAAGGAUUUUAAUUUGUACUUGUAUACUUAGGCUGGGAGGGUAUUCCCAGUUUCUAUAGCUGAAAGACCCUGUAACAUAUUCCCUCUUAAAUUUACAAAGAUAAUUUUUACUGUUUUUUCUUUCUUUAAUUAAAAGCUUUUCUUGUUUAAGAA
Long non-coding RNA from Gopherus flavomarginatus (Mexican gopher tortoise), 538 nucleotides. RefSeq lists it as uncharacterized. The transcript has 2 exons. The record is from RefSeq and is a predicted model, not a curated record. Lineage: Eukaryota; Metazoa; Chordata; Testudines; Testudinidae.